This 253-nucleotide ribosomal RNA is filed under the name uncultured bacterium. Its description in RNAcentral is "partial 16S ribosomal RNA". It matches the Rfam family "Bacterial small subunit ribosomal RNA", at positions 524 to 776 of the family's 1533-position model. The record is from RNAcentral.
UACGUAGGGUGCAAGCGUUGUCCGGAAUUAUUGGGCGUAAAGAGCUCGUAGGCGGUUUGUCGCGUCUGCUGUGAAAACCCGAGGCUCAACCCCGGGUCGGCAGUGGAUACGGGCAGGCUAGAGGUAGGUAGGGGAGAAUGGAAUUCCCGGUGUAGCGGUGAAAUGCGCAGAUAUCGGGAGGAACACCGGUGGCGAAGGCGGUUCUCUGGGCCUUACCUGACGCUGAGGAGCGAAAGCGUGGGGAGCGAACAGG